Molecule: ribosomal RNA, 397 nt
Filed under: uncultured bacterium
Lineage: Bacteria
Description: partial 16S ribosomal RNA
Rfam family: Bacterial small subunit ribosomal RNA
Source: RNAcentral
AUACGUAGGGGGCGAGCGUUGUCCGGAAUGAUUGGGCGUAAAGGGCGCGUAGGCGGCCCGGUAAGUCUGGAGUGAAAGUCCUGUUUUUAAGAUGGGAAUUGCUUUGGAUACUGUCGGGCUUGAGUGCAGAAGAGGUAAGUGGAAUUCCCAGUGUAGCGGUGAAAUGCGUAGAGAUUGGGAGGAACACCAGUGGCGAAGGCGACUUACUGGACUGUAACUCACGCUGAGGCGCGAACGUGUGGGGAGUAAAUAGGUUUAUAUACCCUGGUUGUUCACGCUGUAAACGAUGAAUGCUAGGUGUAGUGGGUAUCGACCCCUUCUGUGCCGUAGUCAACACAAUAAGCAGUCCGGCUGGGGAGUACGGCCGCAAGGCGGAAACUCAAAGGAAUUGACGGGG